AAAUAGCGGAGGAAAAGAAACCAACAGGGAUUGCCUCAGUAACGGCGAGUGAAGCGGCAAAAGCUCAAAUUUGAAAUCUAGCACCUUCGGUGUUCGAGUUGUAAUUUGAAGAUGGUAACCUUGGGUUUGGCUCUUGUCUAUGUUCCUUGGAACAGGACGUCAUAGAGGGUGAGAAUCCCGUCUGAUGAGAUGCCCAUUCCUAUGUAAGGUGCUAUCGAAGAGUCGAGUUGUUUGGGAAUGCAGCUCUAAGUGGGUGGUAAAUUCCAUCUAAAGCUAAAUAUUGGCGAGAGACCGAUAGCGAACAAGUACAGUGAUGGAAAGAUGAAAAGAACUUUGAAAAGAGAGUGAAAAAGUACGUGAAAUUGUUGAAAGGGAAGGGCAUUAGAUCAGACUUGGUGUUUUACGAUUAUCUUCUCUUCUUGAGUUGUGCACUCGUAUUUCACUGGGCCAGCAUCGAUUCGGAUGGCAAGAUAAUGGCAGUUGAAUGUGGCUUCACUUCGGUGGAGUGUUAUAGCUUCUGCUGAUAUUGCCUGUCUGGAUCGAGGGCUGCGUCUUUGACUAGGUGCUGCGUAAGUACGAAGAACGC
RNAcentral lists this ribosomal RNA (586 nucleotides) under Hansenula anomala. RNAcentral describes it as "eukaryotic LSU rRNA". It matches the Rfam family "Eukaryotic large subunit ribosomal RNA", at positions 45 to 634 of the family's 3401-position model. Lineage: Eukaryota; Fungi; Ascomycota; Saccharomycetes; Phaffomycetales; Wickerhamomycetaceae. The record is from RNAcentral.